CAAUAGCGUAUAUUUAAGUUGCUGCAGUUAAAAAGCUCGUAGUUGAAUUUAUGAAGAAGUUGCUUGUCCAGGCUUUAUAGGCCUAGACAAUCAACUUUCUUUUAAUUUGGUACUAUACUUUACACAAAAAUAUGUUACAUAUUUUUGUGGUCCUAGUGUAGUCAGGUUACUGUGAGUAAAUUAAAAUGUUCAAAGUAGGCGGUCGCUGUGAAUAUAUUAGCAUGGAAUAACAUUAUAGUACUUCUUUCUAUUUUUGCUAAGCUGUUAGAUUGGAGUAACGAUUAAUAGGGACAGUUGGGGGCAUUCGUAUUUCAUUGUCAGAGGUGAAAUUCUUAGAUUGAUGAAAGACGAACUACUGCGAAGGCAUUUGUCAAGGAUGUUUUCAUUAA
This 389-nucleotide ribosomal RNA is filed under the name uncultured eukaryote. Its description in RNAcentral is "partial 18S ribosomal RNA". It matches the Rfam family "Eukaryotic small subunit ribosomal RNA", at positions 592 to 976 of the family's 1831-position model. The record is from RNAcentral.